RNAcentral lists this long non-coding RNA (320 nucleotides) under Gossypium barbadense (sea-island cotton). RNAcentral's name for it is "long non-coding RNA (GBAR_LNC019724)". Lineage: Eukaryota; Viridiplantae; Streptophyta; Magnoliopsida; Malvales; Malvaceae. The record is from RNAcentral.
UGCAGAACCAAGUUCACAGUCAAGGGCAAUCAAUUCCUAUCUCUUUACAAAGUAAUCAAUCUCAAGCACAACUGUUACCCCAGAGUGUCCCGAAUAACAUGGCGUCUGCUGGAGUUCAAAGUUCUGCUGGUUUACAAUCUGAAAUGCCUGCCAUCUCUGGUCACAAUCUGAAAUGCCUGCCAUCUCUGGUCUAACCCUGAGUUCUGUACCUGAUGUUGUAGAACAACAUGAAUAGGUAGUAAUUAAUAGCCUUAAGAUUAAGUCUUUGUAGGACGAUAUUUACAACUUUGGCUUUAUCGUGCUUAUGCCUUGGAAUAAUU